Molecule: ribosomal RNA, 219 nt
Filed under: Brevibacillus laterosporus
Lineage: Bacteria; Bacillati; Bacillota; Bacilli; Caryophanales; Paenibacillaceae
Description: partial 16S ribosomal RNA
Rfam family: Bacterial small subunit ribosomal RNA
Source: RNAcentral
CCUACAUGAAGUCGGAAUCGCUAGUAAUCGCGGAUCAGCAUGCCGCGGUGAAUACGUUCCCGGGCCUUGUACACACCGCCCGUCACACCACGGGAGUUUGCAACACCCGAAGUCGGUGAGGUAACCGCAAGGAGCCAGCCGCCGAAGGUGGGGUAGAUAACUGGGGUGAAGUCGUAACAAGGUAUCCGUACCGGAAGGUGCGGAUGGAUCACCUCCUUU